Molecule: non-coding RNA, 665 nt
Organism: Macaca mulatta (Rhesus monkey)
Lineage: Eukaryota; Metazoa; Chordata; Mammalia; Primates; Cercopithecidae
Source: RefSeq, a predicted model, not a curated record
CACCGAAUCCAAACAGGCCAGUUACGACUGUUGGCUGACGGUUGAUGCGUCAGAAUCGUAUUAGUUUGAAAUGUGACUUUAUCCUCUGCUACUUGUACACUCUUGGGCAAUUACUUAUCUUCAAUUCUCAGAUGAUAAUAGGGUAUCCUACAUGAUAAGAUUGCUGUAAAGAUUAAAAGGAACAAUGUCUGCAAUGGGGUUGGCACUGUGGAUGAAAAAGAGAAAGCACUCUGUGAUGGCUGUGAUGAUGAUGCAGCCAGCUAACACCAGGAAAUAGCAUGUUAACACAAACUAAGCCCCUCCUCCUCCAGGGCUCUGCUCAGUUCAAGGUUCUUGGAUUCAGCUUAAGCACAGCUCUCCUGUUGCUAUGUGCACCCAGCCUCAGGACAAGAAUACCUAACUUGGCUUCUUGCUACUCUGGUCCCAGACCAUUCAUGUUAUUUGGAGGAAGCAUUGUUGGAGACCUCCUUUAAUUAUGAGAUGAGUGAUAAUUCAAAGAAUGUGCAUUAUGAAGAAUAUGCUUUUCUGUAUUGAGAAGGUCCCUCCAUCCUAGUCAACUUUAUUUUGAAAGCAGAAUUCUUUUGCUCUUCAAAAGGCUCCAAUUCCACUUCAACCAUAAUCACUGUAAAAACACUGCUUAGUGAAUAAAAUAUGGUCAAAUCUAA